AUCAAAUAGAAGCGAUAACCAGGCAAAUUCAGAACACACAUUAAAAUGUCAUUAUAGUUCUAAUGGAAGUGUGUGUGAGUGUGUGUAGGCAUGCAUGCGCUUAUGCACUUGUCUAUGUAAGAUGUAAUCUAAUUAAAGAGGACCUAAAUUUACAUAGGUAUGUAAAUUCCACAGAAAUGGAAUUGGGAAAUUGAAGAAGAAAACUUCACAGAAGAAAUAAUAUUUGAUUUCAGAAUUGAAGAAUCAGCUGGAGUUUCCCAGGUAGCAAAACGGAGUCUUGCCCUAUCGCUAGGCUGGAGUGCAGGGGUGAGAUCUCAGCUCACUGCAACCCCUGCCUCCCAGGUUCAAGCGAUUCUCCUGCCUCAGCCUCCCUAGUAGCUGGGACUACAGGUACACACCACCAUGCCC
Molecule: long non-coding RNA, 408 nt
Filed under: Homo sapiens (human)
Lineage: Eukaryota; Metazoa; Chordata; Mammalia; Primates; Hominidae
Description: HSALNT0112917
Source: RNAcentral